GGCUUAGAAGCAGCCACUCAUUAAAAGAGUGCGUAAUAGCUCACUGGUCGAGUGAUUCUGCGCCGAAAAUUUAACGGGGCUAAAUUGUACACCGAAGCUUGGGAUACAUCUAAUGUAUGGUAGGAGAGCGUUGUAUACGGGGUGAAGUCAGAGCGGAAGCGCUGGUGGACUGUAUACAAGUGAGAAUGCCGGAAUGAGUAGCGAGAAUUAUGUGAGAAUCAUAAUGGCCGAAAGACUAAGGUUUUAGAAGGAAGGUUCGUCCGCUUCUAGUCAGCCGGGAGCUAAGGCGAGGCCGAAAGGCGUAGUCGAUGCACAUACGGUGGAGAUUCCGUAGCCGCCAUUAAUUUAAACAGAGGGACACUUUCAAGGGGCAUGACCCGGGCGUUGGUAGACCCGGGCGUAAGGGACCGAAGAUUAGUAGGGAAGCAUGCUUUAAGGAAGGCGAGAAAAGCUCUGUGUAUAGAAGAUGGCGCCCGUACCGCAAACCGACACAGGUAGUCAGGAAGAGAAUUCUAAGGCCAACGGGAGAAGGGUAGUUAAGGAACUCGGCAAAUUGACCCCGUAACUUCGGAAUAAGGGGUGCUCACGAGAGUGAGCCGCAGUGAAUAGGUCCAGGCGACUGUUUAUCAAAAACACAGCUCUCUGCUAAAUCGAAAGAUGACGUAUAGGGGGUGACACCUGCCCGGUGCUGGAAGGUUAAGAGGAAGGGUGCAAGCUCUGAAUUGAAGCCCCAGUAAACGGCGGCCGUAACUAUAACGGUCCUAAGGUAGCGAAAUUCCUUGUCGGGUAAGUUCCGACCCGCACGAAUGGUGUAACGAUCUGGACACUGUCUCAACUACCCACCCGGCGAAAUUGUAGUACCGGUGAAGAUGCCGGUUACCCGCGGCAAGACGGAAAGACCCCAUGGAGCUUUACUGUAACCUGAUAUUGGGUUUCGGUAUUUUAUGUACAGGAUAGGUGGGAGACUAUGAAACUAAGGCGCCAGCCUUAGCGGAGUCGCCCUUGGGAUACCACUCUUAAAGUACUGAAAUUCUAACCUGCGGCCGUGAAUCCGGUCGGGGGACAUUGUCAGGCGGGCAGUUUGACUGGGGCGGUCGCCUCCAAAAGAGUAACGGAGGCGCUCAAAGGUUCGCUCAGCAUGGUCGGAAACCAUGCCUUAGAGUGUAAACGCAAAAGCGAGCCUAACUGCGAGGCUGACGGGCCGAGCAGUAACGAAAGUUGGAGUUAGUGAUCCGGCGGUAUGUGAAUGGAAAUGCCGUCGCUCAACGGAUAAAAGCUACCCUGGGGAUAACAGGCUGAUCUCCCCCAAGAGUCCACAUCGACGGGGAGGUUUGGCACCUCGAUGUCGGCUCAUCGCAUCCUGGGGCUGAAUUCGGUCCCAAGGGUUUGGCUGUUCGCCAAUUAAAGCGGUACGCGAGCUGGGUUCAGAACGUCGUGAGACAGUUCGGUCCCUAUCUGUCGUGGGCGUAGGAUAUUUGAAGAGCGCUGUCCCUAGUACGAGAGGACCGGGAUGGACGCACCGCUGGCGCAUCGGUUGUCAUGCCAAUGGCACGGCCGAGCAACUAUGUGCGGUUUGGAUAAACGCUGAAAGCAUCUAAGCGUGAAGCCAUCUCUAAGAUAAGAUAUCCCAUAGCAUAAGCUAGUAAGACCCCUCAAAGACUAUGAGGUUGAUAGGCUGCGUGUGUAAGUACGGCGACGUAUUUAGCUUGGCAGUACUAAUAGGUCGAGGGCUUGACCUU
Molecule: ribosomal RNA, 1739 nt
Filed under: human gut metagenome
Description: bacterial LSU rRNA
Rfam family: Bacterial large subunit ribosomal RNA
Source: RNAcentral